RNAcentral lists this ribosomal RNA (402 nucleotides) under bacterium. RNAcentral's name for it is "partial 16S ribosomal RNA". It matches the Rfam family "Bacterial small subunit ribosomal RNA", at positions 355 to 776 of the family's 1533-position model. The record is from RNAcentral.
UGGGGAAUUUUGCACAAUGGGGGAAACCCUGAUGCAGCGACGCCUCGUGAUUUAGAAGGCCUUCGUGUUGUAAAAAUCUUUUCUAUGGGAAGAAACUGACAGUACCAUAGGAAUAAGGACCGGCUAAUUACUUGCCAGCAGCCGCGGUAAUACGUAAGGUCCGAGCGUUGUCCGGAAUCAUUGGGCGUAAAGGGUACGUAGGCGGGUAAGCAAGUUAGAAGUGAAAUCCUAUAGCUCAACUAUAGUAAGCUUUUAAAACUGCUCAUCUUGAGGUAUGGAAGGGAAAGAGGAAUUCCUAGUGUAGCGGUGAAAUGCGCAGAUAUUAGGAGGAGUACCGGUGGCGAAGGCGACUUUCUGGCCAUCACAUGACGCUGAGGUACGAAAGCGUGGGUAGCAGAAAGG